This is a non-coding RNA of Nicotiana tabacum (common tobacco), 1160 nucleotides long. The record is from RefSeq and is a predicted model, not a curated record. Lineage: Eukaryota; Viridiplantae; Streptophyta; Magnoliopsida; Solanales; Solanaceae.
CUGAUGAUACUCCAGCAAGCAUUGGAUUUCUAGGUCUUGGAAUUAUGGGCUCCCCUAUGGCGCAAAAUCUCAUAAAAGCAGGACGUGACGUGACAGUUUGGAAUAGGACCAAGAGCAAAUGUGAACCCCUUAUCUCCAUGGGUGCAAAAUACAAGUCCUCCCCUGAGGAAGUUGCAGCAUCUUGUGGCGUCACAUUUGCCAUGCUUGCAGACCCUGAGAGUGCAAUGGAUGUUGCUUGUGGAAAAUAUGGAGCUGCAAAAGGAAUGGGUCCCGGAAAAGGUUAUGUAGAUGUUUCUACAGUUGAUGGUGAAACUUCUAAACUGAUCUGUGAGCAUAUCAGAGCUACUGGAGCUCAUUUUUUGGAGGCUCCAGUAUCAGGGUCCAAGAAGCCAGCAGAAGAUGGACAGCUAAUAUUUCUCACUGCAGGUGACAACGUGCUGUAUGAAACAGUUGCUCCACUGUUGGAUAUCAUGGGGAAGUCAAGAUUUUACCUUGGUGAAGUUGGUAAUGGAGCUGCAAUGAAACUUGUCGUCAAUAUGGUUAUGGGAAGUAUGAUGGCCUCCUUUUCUGAAGGAUUAGUACUUAGCGAGAAAGUUGGACUUGAUCCAAGUGUAUUAGUGGAGGUGAUCUCGCAGGGUGCUAUUAGUGCUCCAAUGUAUGCCAUGAAAGGUCCUUCAAUGGUUAAAUCUUUGUAUCCGACAGCGUUUCCUCUGAAGCAUCAGCAAAAGGACCUUCGUCUAGCUCUGGGUUUAGCUGAAUCUGUUUCACAACCCACUCCAAUUGCUGCUGCAACCAAUGAACUUUACAAGGUUGCAAAAUCUCAUGGUCUCAGUGACCAGGACUUUUCUGCAGUAAUUGAAGCAUUAAAAGUGAAAUUACAACACCAAACUUAAAGCAGUCUUUCCUGGAUAACAUAUGCUAUUUCCUUCACAAAGCUUGGGUGUAAUAUAUCCACCAUGAUACGGACUUGAAUUGGAGAUAUCCGAUUGAAGGUGAAGGGAUCCUACUCAUUCGAUCAUAAUUCUUAUUGUUAUUUUAUGUUAGGGGUGUACAAAUCGAAUUGGAAAUUCGCAUCAAACUGAAAGUCAAACCAAAUCGAUUAAAAAAUUCGAUGAAAUUUGGUUUGAUUUGGUUUGGUAUUAAGUAAAAAAAUAUAAUAU